AUUGAACGCUGGCGGAAUGCUUUACACAUGCAAGUCGAACGGCAGCACGGGGCAACCUGGUGGCGAGUGGCGAACGGGUGAGUAAUAUAUCGGAACGUGCCCAAUCGUGGGGGAUAACGUAGCGAAAGUUACGCUAAUACCGCAUACGAUCUACGGAUGAAAACGGGGGAUCGCAAGACCUCGCGCGAAUGGAGCGGCCGAUAUCAGAUUAGGUAGUUGGUGGGGUAAAGGCUCACCAAGCCAACGAUCUGUAGCUGGUCUGAGAGGACGACCAGCCACACUGGGACUGAGACACGGCCCAGACUCCUACGGGAGGCAGCAGUGGGGAAUUUUGGACAAUGGGCGAAAGCCUGAUCCAGCCAUUCCGCGUGCAGGAUG
This 378-nucleotide ribosomal RNA is filed under the name uncultured bacterium. RNAcentral describes it as "bacterial SSU rRNA". It matches the Rfam family "Bacterial small subunit ribosomal RNA", at positions 30 to 410 of the family's 1533-position model. The record is from RNAcentral.